AGAGUUUGAUCCUGGCUCAGGACGAACGCUGGCGGCGUGCUUAACACAUGCAAGUCGAACGAUGAAGCCCAGCUUGCUGGGUGGAUUAGUGGCGAACGGGUGAGUAACACGUGAGUAACCUGCCCUUGACUCUGGGAUAAGCGCUGGAAACGGCGUCUAAUACCGGAUAUGACAACCGACGGCAUCGUCUGGUUGUGGAAAGAAUUUUGGUCAAGGAUGGACUCGCGGCCUAUCAGCUUGUUGGUGAGGUAAUGGCUCACCAAGGCGACGACGGGUAGCCGGCCUGAGAGGGUGACCGGCCACACUGGGACUGAGACACGGCCCAGACUCCUACGGGAGGCAGCAGUGGGGAAUAUUGCACAAUGGGGCGAAAGCCUGAUGCAGCAACGCCGCGUGAGGGACGACNGGCUUCGGGUUGUAAACCUCUUUUAGCAGGGAAGAAGCGAAAGUGACGGACCUGCAGAAAAAGCCC
RNAcentral lists this ribosomal RNA (472 nucleotides) under actinobacterium iEI7. Its description in RNAcentral is "bacterial SSU rRNA". It matches the Rfam family "Bacterial small subunit ribosomal RNA", at positions 8 to 493 of the family's 1533-position model. Lineage: Bacteria; Bacillati; Actinomycetota; Actinomycetes. The record is from RNAcentral.